Molecule: ribosomal RNA, 1436 nt
Filed under: uncultured bacterium
Lineage: Bacteria
Description: 16S ribosomal RNA
Rfam family: Bacterial small subunit ribosomal RNA
Source: RNAcentral
CAGGCUUAACACAUGCAAGUCGAGGGGCAGCAUGGUCUUAUCUUGCUAAGGCCGAUGGCGACCGGCGCACGGGUGAGUAACACGUAUCCAACCUGCCGUCUACUCUUGGACAGCCUUCUGAAAGGAAGAUUAAUACAAGAUGGCAUCAUGAGUCCGCAUGUUCACAUGAUUAAAGGUAUUCCGGUAGACGAUGGGGAUGCGUUCCAUUAGAUAGUAGGCGGGGUAACGGCCCACCUAGUCUUCGAUGGAUAGGGGUUCUGAGAGGAAGGUCCCCCACAUUGGAACUGAGACACGGUCCAAACUCCUACGGGAGGCAGCAGUGAGGAAUAUUGGUCAAUGGGCGAGAGCCUGAACCAGCCAAGUAGCGUGAAGGAUGACUGCCCUAUGGGUUGUAAACUUCUUUUAUAAAGGAAUAAAGUCGGGUAUGGAUACCCGUUUGCAUGUACUUUAUGAAUAAGGAUCGGCUAACUCCGUGCCAGCAGCCGCGGUAAUACGGAGGAUCCGAGCGUUAUCCGGAUUUAUUGGGUUUAAAGGGAGCGUAGAUGGAUGUUUAAGUCAGUUGUGAAAGUUUGCGGCUCAACCGUAAAAUUGCAGUUGAUACUGGAUAUCUUGAGUGCAGUUGAGGCAGGCGGAAUUCGUGGUGUAGCGGUGAAAUGCUUAGAUAUCACGAAGAACUCCGAUUGCGAAGGCAGCCUGCUAAGCUGCAACUGACAUUGAGGCUCGAAAGUGUGGGUAUCAAACAGGAUUAGAUACCCUGGUAGUCCACACGGUAAACGAUGAAUACUCGCUGUUUGCGAUAUACAGCAAGCGGCCAAGCGAAAGCGUUAAGUAUUCCACCUGGGGAGUACGCCGGCAACGGUGAAACUCAAAGGAAUUGACGGGGGCCCGCACAAGCGGAGGAACAUGUGGUUUAAUUCGAUGAUACGCGAGGAACCUUACCCGGGCUUAAAUUGCAGAUGAAUUACGGUGAAAGCCGUAAGCCGCAAGGCAUCUGUGAAGGUGCUGCAUGGUUGUCGUCAGCUCGUGCCGUGAGGUGUCGGCUUAAGUGCCAUAACGAGCGCAACCCUUGUUGUCAGUUACUAACAGGUUCCGCUGAGGACUCUGACAAGACUGCCAUCGUAAGAUGUGAGGAAGGUGGGGAUGACGUCAAAUCAGCACGGCCCUUACGUCCGGGGCUACACACGUGUUACAAUGGGGGGUACAGAGGGCCGCUACCACGCGAGUGGAUGCCAAUCCCAAAAACCUCUCUCAGUUCGGACUGGAGUCUGCAACCCGACUCCACGAAGCUGGAUUCGCUAGUAAUCGCGCAUCAGCCACGGCGCGGUGAAUACGUUCCCGGGCCUUGUACACACCGCCCGUCAAGCCAUGGGAGCCGGGGGUACCUGAAGUGCGUAACCGCGAGGAGCGCCCUAGGGUAAAACUGGUGACUGGGGCUA